This 481-nucleotide ribosomal RNA is filed under the name uncultured bacterium. RNAcentral describes it as "bacterial SSU rRNA". It matches the Rfam family "Bacterial small subunit ribosomal RNA", at positions 8 to 518 of the family's 1533-position model. The record is from RNAcentral.
AGAGUUGAUCCUGGCUUAGAACGAACGCUGGCGGCGUGCUUAACACAUGCAAGUCGAGCGAUUACUUCGGUAAAGAGCGGCGGACGGGUGAGUAACGCGUGGGUAACCUGCCUCAUACACAUGGAUAACAUACCGAAAGGUAUGCUAAUACAGGAUAAUAUAAGAGAUUCACAUGGAUUUCUUAUCAAAGCUCCGGCGGUAUGAGAUGGACCCGCGUCUGAUUAGCUAGUUGGUAAGGUAAUGGCUUACCAAGGCGACGAUCAGUAGCCGACCUGAGAGGGUAAUCGGCCACAUUGGAACUGAGACACGGUCCAAACUCCUACGGGAGGCAGCAGUGGGGAAUAUUGCACAAUGGGCGAAAGCCUGAUGCAGCAACGCCGCGUGAGUGAUGAAGGCCUUCGGGUCGUAAAACUCUGUCCUCAAGGAAGAUAAUGACGGUACUUGAGGAGGAAGCCCCGGCUAACUACGUGCCAGCCGCCGC